Molecule: non-coding RNA, 1339 nt
Organism: Doryrhamphus excisus (bluestripe pipefish)
Lineage: Eukaryota; Metazoa; Chordata; Actinopteri; Syngnathiformes; Syngnathidae
Source: RefSeq, a predicted model, not a curated record
CCGGAAACGUCAAAGUUGUAAUGACUGUCUAGCCAAGUUGUUUAAAACAAAAACACGCUCAUUCCGAAUAUGACAACAAGUGUAUAUAAAGUAUUUAUGAGUACAAGUUUUACAGAUGUGGAAAACCGAUUUUGGACGAACAAUGACGAAGAACAACUUUAACCCGAAGACACCUAACCACAAAUCCCUGACACGGUGGAUGCAGAAUCAGGAGACGGGAAGAAGGUUGUGGUGUCAACACACUCACACACACAUACACACACACGCCAGAGACGUACACAAAGUGGCACACAGGACAGGAUGUGUGAGACGGAUGCAACCAGAGAAGGAAAAAGGACAUCCUCAGGCAUUCUGGAUUUUGACUACAGCUCCGCCCCCCUGGAGAAGACAUUACCAGGAGUUUGGAGGAGGAGCUGAGGCUACUCUGGCCUCCGAGGCUGAGACUAAUUCAAAACAGGAUCAGGACUCCCAACGAGCACCAACUUUGCACAAGCAGUCGGAGUCAAGUAAAAAUCGGAAAUGAGAGGAGAGUUGAUAUUUCUGGACAUCCUCCGUCUGUGUGUUUAAGGUUGGACGUUUUCAAGUUAUUUUCCGACACAAAACUUCAACAAGCCCUCCUGGGAUGAGCCCAGAAUUGCCCCAAUAAGCAUCCACUCCCCCCGUUGUGAGCGAGCCAAAAUAGAGACGGCGAGAGGAGACGUUCCGAAGGGAGCGCUUGGGUUAUGUUUAGGUUUGUCCAACGAGGAAUAAUUUAGGGAAGUAUGUCCAUCCUUGCCUUCCCCCUCUUGCUCAACGUCCACCCCCUAGUCCCACCAUAACUGUAAAUCUGCUGCAGCAUUUUGCGCCAACCGCGGCUGCACGCCUGGCGAGCCCUGCCGCCACGCCGCUAACUUUGGAGGAGGCCAUUAACAAGGGCUAAAAGGAACGGCGGCACCAUGUAGGCCGUGCUUGUGUCAAACUUGGCAGUCGGACGGCGGACACAAGUCACAGGAGAUAGGACAAAGUGGAAUGACUGAUUUGAGGCAAGGAAAAAAAAAAUAUUUGGCCCCUAGCAUAAAAGUUGUGGCUGUUCAUAAACCGCACUUGCAUAGUUCCCAUCUAAAUUUGUUGUUUUUAUUUUGUCAUAUUUUACUGAUUAUCCAGUAAAGUUGACCAUCGUUUAUUAAUUGGUUCCAUACGUGAAAACUGAAUGUCCGCAAAUCAGGAUUCAAUAUUAAUAAACUGAAUAUUUUCACCCCUAUUAGAGCCCUGUAGACACUGAAUAAGACAAUAUAGUCACAGUUACCCUUCUAUUAUUUUAUGGUUACACCACAUUACACAGGCUACGGGAUCACUGCAG